UAAUAAGUGUUUUAUGGCACUUUUUAAAUCCAUAUCCACCUUGUGUGCAAUGUCAGUCGAUCUUCUUCAUGGAGACCGACCAAACAUCAACCUUUAUUUUUAACUCUUUGUCUGAAAAAUAUUAUGAAUAAACAAUUCAAAAUA
RNAcentral lists this unclassified non-coding RNA (144 nucleotides) under soil metagenome. RNAcentral's name for it is "partial internal transcribed spacer 1". The record is from RNAcentral.